UACGGAGGGUGCAAGCGUUAUCCGGAUUCACUGGGGUUAAAGGGUGCGUAGGUGGGCAAGUAAGUCAGUGGUGAAAUCUCCGGGCUUAACCCGGAAACUGCCAUUGAUACUAUUUGUCUUGAAUACCGUGGAGGUGAGCGGAAUAUGUCAUGUAGCGGUGGAAUGCUUAGAUAUGACAUAGAACACCAAUUGCGAAGGCAGCUCGCUACACGAAUAUUGACUCUGAGGCACGAAAGCGUGGGGAUCAAACAGG
RNAcentral lists this ribosomal RNA (253 nucleotides) under uncultured bacterium. RNAcentral describes it as "partial 16S ribosomal RNA". It matches the Rfam family "Bacterial small subunit ribosomal RNA", at positions 524 to 776 of the family's 1533-position model. The record is from RNAcentral.